CUGGCCUGUAGCAGCAGAAGUAAGGCAAUGCUGAGGGAAGGCAGGCGCUGAGAAGGAGCCAAACUUUGUCUAUGUCUGCUCAGAAGUAAGCCCUGUUGAAUUCAGAAGGGCUUCUUCCCAGAUAAAUGGAGUUAGAAUUGCAGCCUAACAAUGGUUGUGGAGCUUGGAAGGAAGAAUCCUACUCCUUUUUCUAGUGAUUGACUUCUGGGAUUGUCCAUGACAGCCACGUGCUCUGCUGGUCAAUAGUGCAUAAAGAUGUUCUUGGAUCUGUGAAAUAGAGAAAAACCCCAACAGAGAUCUGAAGGCAAGUGAAGACAAAGGUACCCAAAAGCUGUUGGUUUGUGAGGGAAAGUCAUAUGACUGCAUCUGAAGAAGAGACGACAAAGCAAGGCUCCUGUCCAUCUGCUGAGCUGCAACCAACUGCUGUAUGUGAAAGAGAGGAGUUUUGGCAGACGAUUUACAGGCUCCACAGCUUCCCAGCCUACAGCAGUAAACAUCCUUGUAUACCACUGUGGGAAACAUGAUGUACAACUUUCAUAAGCCCUAAACUGUGGACCUCCGUGAAUGCAUAGCAAAUGCUGGCUGUGCUUCAUGUAUUUAUGGAAAUGCAAGAAAAUGCUAUGUAUUUAAUUGAAAAUUAAGCAAUGUUCUCUUAUAAAUAAGAUUUGCACUCAUUUAACCUUUAAUAAUGCAUUAUUACAUCUGUU
Long non-coding RNA from Rhineura floridana, 707 nucleotides. RefSeq lists it as uncharacterized. The transcript has 4 exons. NCBI's taxonomy places the organism in Eukaryota, Metazoa, Chordata, Lepidosauria, Squamata, Rhineuridae. The record is from RefSeq and is a predicted model, not a curated record.